CCCUUAGAUGUUCUGGGCCGCACACGCGCUACACUGAAGGAGGCAGCGUGUACUCCUGGAUCGAAAGCUUUGGGUAACCCGCGAAUCUCCUUCGUGCUAGGGAUUGAGGUUUGCAAUUAUCCUUCAUGAACGAGGAAUUCCCAGUAAGUGCAAGUCAUAAGCUUGCGCUGACUACGUCCCUGCCCUUUGUACACACCGCCCGUCGCUACUACCGAUUGAAUGAUUUAGUGAGGACUUCGGACUGGGACCGAUGCGGCUUUCGGGCUGCGUCGGUAUUCUGGAAAGAUGUCCAAACUGUAUCAUUUAGAGGAAGUAAAANUCGUAACA
Molecule: ribosomal RNA, 327 nt
Filed under: uncultured eukaryote
Lineage: Eukaryota
Description: partial 18S ribosomal RNA
Rfam family: Eukaryotic small subunit ribosomal RNA
Source: RNAcentral